RNAcentral lists this ribosomal RNA (589 nucleotides) under uncultured bacterium. RNAcentral describes it as "bacterial SSU rRNA". It matches the Rfam family "Bacterial small subunit ribosomal RNA", at positions 338 to 943 of the family's 1533-position model. The record is from RNAcentral.
CCUACGGGAGGCAGCAGUGGGGAAUAUUGGACAAUGGGGGCAACCCUGAUCCAGCAAUGCCGCGUGAGUGAUGAAGGCCUUCGGGUUGUAAAGCUCUUUCACCCACGACGAUGAUGACGGUAGUGGGAGAAGAAGCCCCGGCUAACUUCGUGCCAGCAGCCGCGGUAAUACGAAGGGGGCUAGCGUUGUUCGGAGUUACUGGGCGUAAAGGGCGCGUAGGCGGCCUGGUCAGUCUGGUGUGAAAGCCCGGGGCUCAACCCCGGAAUUGCACUGGAGACGGCCAAGCUUGAGUGUGGGAGAGGAUGGUGGAAUUCCCAGUGUAGGGGUGAAAUUCGUAGAUAUUGGGAAGAACACCGGUGGCGAAGGCGGCCAUCUGGACCAUUACUGACGCUGAGGCGCGAAAGCGUGGGGAGCAAACAGGAUUAGAUACCCUGGUAGUCCACGCCGUAAACGAUGAGUGCUAGACGUCGGGGCCCUUAGGGCUUCGGUGUCGCAGCUAACGCAUUAAGCACUCCGCCUGGGGAGUACGGCCGCAAGGUUAAAACUUAAAGAUAUAGACGNGNGAUGCGACGAGCACACGGAGGUAGAG